CUAUACAUGCAAGUCGAACGCUUCUUUUUCCACCGGAGCUUGCUCCACCGGAAAAAGAGGAGUGGCGAACGGGUGAGUAACACGUGGGUAACCUGCCCAUCAGAAGGGGAUAACACUUGGAAACAGGUGCUAAUACCGUAUAACAAUCAAAACCGCAUGGUUUUGAUUUGAAAGGCGCUUUCGGGUGUCGCUGAUGGAUGGACCCGCGGUGCAUUAGCUAGUUGGUGAGGUAACGGCUCACCAAGGCCACGAUGCAUAGCCGACCUGAGAGGGUGAUCGGCCACAUUGGGACUGAGACACGGCCCAAACUCCUACGGGAGGCAGCAGUAGGGAAUCUUCGGCAAUGGACGAAAGUCUGACCGAGCAACGCCGCGUGAGUGAAGAAGGUUUUCGGAUCGUAAAACUCUGUUGUUAGAGAAGAACAAGGAUGAGAGUAACUGUUCAUCCCUUGACGGUAUCUAACCAGAAAGCCACGGCUAACUACGUGCCAGCAGCCGCGGUAAUACGUAGGUGGCAAGCGUUGUCCGGAUUUAUUGGGCGUAAAGCGAGCGCAGGCGGUUUCUUAAGUCUGAUGUGAAAGCCCCCGGCUCAACCGGGGAGGGUCAUUGGAAACUGGGAGACUUGAGUGCAGAAGAGGAGAGUGGAAUUCCAUGUGUAGCGGUGAAAUGCGUAGAUAUAUGGAGGAACACCAGUGGCGAAGGCGGCUCUCUGGUCUGUAACUGACGCUGAGGCUCGAAAGCGUGGGGAGCAAACAGGAUUAGAUACCCUGGUAGUCCACGCCGUAAACGAUGAGUGCUAAGUGUUGGAGGGUUUCCGCCCUUCAGUGCUGCAGCUAACGCAUUAAGCACUCCGCCUGGGGAGUACGACCGCAAGGUUGAAACUCAAAGGAAUUGACGGGGGCCCGCACAAGCGGUGGAGCAUGUGGUUUAAUUCGAAGCAACGCGA
RNAcentral lists this ribosomal RNA (945 nucleotides) under Enterococcus faecium. RNAcentral's name for it is "bacterial SSU rRNA". It matches the Rfam family "Bacterial small subunit ribosomal RNA", at positions 49 to 964 of the family's 1533-position model. Lineage: Bacteria; Bacillati; Bacillota; Bacilli; Lactobacillales; Enterococcaceae. The record is from RNAcentral.